UGUGGUGGAAUUCAAUAGCGUAAUUAACUUGACUAAUAAUGGGAUUAGUUUUUUAGCUAUUUAUAGCUAAUUAACACAAUCCCGGGGCGUUCUAUAUACUUAUGUAUAAUGUAUAUUUAUAUUAUUUAUGCCUCUAACUGGAACGUACCUUGAGCAUAUAUGCUGUGACCCGAAAGAUGGUGAACUAUACUUGAUCAGGUUGAAGUCAGGGGAAACCCUGAUGGAAGACCGAAACAGUUCUGACGUGCAAAUCGAUUGUCAGAAUUGAGUAUAGGGGCGAAAGACCAAUCGAACCAUCUAGUAGCUGGUUCCUUCCGAAGUUUCCCUCAGGAUAGCUGGUGCAUUUUAAUAUUAUAUAAAAUAAUCUUAUCUGGUAAAGCGAAUGAUUAGAGGCCUUAGGGUCGAAACGAUCUUAACCUAUUCUCAAACUUUAAAUGGGUAAGAACCUUAACUUUCUUGAUAUGAAGUUCAAGGUUAUGAUAUAAUGUGCCCAGUGGGCCACUUUUGGUAAGCAGAACUGGCGCUGUGGGAUGAACCAAACGUAAUGUUACGGUGCCCAAAUUAACAACUCAUGCAGAUACCAUGAAAGGCGUUGGUUGCUUAAAACAGCAGGACGGUGAUCAUGGAAGUCGAAAUCCGCUAAGGAGUGUGUAACAACUCACCUGCCGAAGCAACUAGCCCUUAAAAUGGAUGGCGCUUAAGUUGUAUACCUAUACAUUACCGCUAAAGUAGAUGAUUUAUAUUACUUGUGAUAUAAAUUUUGAAACUUUAGUGAGUAGGAAGGUACAAUGGUAUGCGUAGAAGUGUUUUGGCGUAAGCCUGCAUGGAGCUGCCAUUGGUACAGAUCUUGGUGGUAGUAACAAAUAACCGAAUGAGACCUUUGAAAGAACUGAAUGGAAAAAGGGUUU
Molecule: non-coding RNA, 908 nt
Filed under: Drosophila simulans
Lineage: Eukaryota; Metazoa; Arthropoda; Insecta; Diptera; Drosophilidae
Description: Eukaryotic large subunit ribosomal RNA
Rfam family: Eukaryotic large subunit ribosomal RNA
Source: Rfam by way of RNAcentral